This 253-nucleotide ribosomal RNA is filed under the name uncultured bacterium. Its description in RNAcentral is "partial 16S ribosomal RNA". It matches the Rfam family "Bacterial small subunit ribosomal RNA", at positions 524 to 776 of the family's 1533-position model. The record is from RNAcentral.
UACGGAGGGUGCAAGCGUUACUCGGAAUUACUGGGCGUAAAGCGCGUGUAGGUGGUCUUAUAAGUCUGGUGUGAAAUCCCGGGGCUCAACCCCGGAAGUGCAUUGGAUACUGUGAGACUGGAGUGCAGGAGAGGAUGGCGGAAUUCCAGGUGUAGAGGUGAAAUUCGUAGAUAUCUGGAGGAACAUCGGAGGCGAAGGCGGCCAUCUGGACUGCAACUGACACUGAGACGCGAAAGCGUGGGGAGCAAACAGG